Molecule: long non-coding RNA, 691 nt
Filed under: Sorghum bicolor (sorghum)
Lineage: Eukaryota; Viridiplantae; Streptophyta; Magnoliopsida; Poales; Poaceae
Description: long non-coding RNA (SBIC_LNC011417)
Source: RNAcentral
ACUAGGCUUAAAAUAAUCGUCUCGCAAGUUACAGACAAACUAUGUAAUUAAUUAUUUUUUUAUCUAUAUUUAGUGCAUACAUGUGUCGUAAGAUUCACGGGAAAUCUUGAAAAUUUCUGCAAAAUUUUUGGGAAGUAAACAAGGCCUAGGUGACUAGGUGACUGGUUUCUUGGUCGAGGCUGUCUUUUGUUGUAAGCAUAAGGCACGAAUGCUUUUUCUAUACUCUUGUGUGUUGUAAGGGAACUUGCCUCUUUUUCCUUCUUGUUAAUACAAAGCUGAACAGCUCUCCUGCCUGUUUGAGAAAAAAAAGGCUAAUGAAAAUCUUGGUUAUAAAGUUGAGUUGGGCACUUCACUGCCCAAGACCGGUCUAGAAACACAACCAUUAUUUCUUUUUCGGUUGAACAAGGAUUAAGUAGUAUCUUUUUGUGUGAGGAAAUUUUUUUCGCAACCAUAUGUAUGAAGAAAUUUGAACUCUGGAGACUGAAUUAUUGUCAUCCCAGCACCUGAUAAAUAGUUCUUUCCUAACAUAAAGCUUCAAAAAGAUCAGACAGAUAAGCAGAAUGGGCUUGUUCCAUGAGAAGAUGUUUUAUACCUUGGCACCUUGCCAUUAUGCAGGGACACUGGAGAUGACGAUGUUGCCAUACAGAUACUGUACUGCGGGAUAUGCCACUCUGAUCUGCACACCAUCAAG